Molecule: ribosomal RNA, 253 nt
Filed under: uncultured bacterium
Lineage: Bacteria
Description: partial 16S ribosomal RNA
Rfam family: Bacterial small subunit ribosomal RNA
Source: RNAcentral
UACGUAGGUGACAAGCGUUGUCCGGAUUUACUGGGCGUAAAGAGCGCGCAGGCGGUCGUUCAAGUCGAGUGUGAAAGCCCCCGGCUCAACUGGGGAGGGUCACUCGAUACUGAUCGACUUGAAGGCAGGAGAGGGAGGCGGAAUUCCCGGUGUAGUGGUGAAAUGCGUAGAUAUCGGGAGGAACACCAGUGGCGAAGGCGGCUUCCUGGCCUGCUCUUGACGCUGAGGCGCGAAAGCUAGGGUAGCAAACGGG